GACGAACGCCGGAGGCGUGCUUAACACAUGCAAGUCGAACGCUGAAAUGGAGCUUGCUCCAUGGAUUAGUGGCGAACGGGUGAGUCACACGUGAAUAACCUGCCCUUAAUUUUGGAAUAAUCCAGGGAAACCUGGGCUAAUACCGGAUAAGUAAACCUGUGGCAUCACAUGGUUUUGGAAAGUUUUUCGAUUAAGGAUGGAUUCGCGGCCUAUCAGCUUGUUGGUGAGGUGAUGGCUCACCAAGGCGACGACGGGUAGCCGGCCUGAGAGGGUGAACGGCGACGCGGGGACUGAGACACGGCCAAGACUCCUGCGGGAGGCAGCAGUGGGGAAUAGUACGCAAUGGACGAGAGUCUGACGCAGCGACGCCACGUGGGGGACGAAGGUCUUCGGAUUGUAAACCUCUUUCAGCAGUGACGAAGCGAAAAUGACGGUACCUGCAGGAGAAUCUCCGGCGAACUAUGUGCCAGCAGCCGCCGUAA
RNAcentral lists this ribosomal RNA (482 nucleotides) under uncultured bacterium. RNAcentral's name for it is "partial 16S ribosomal RNA". It matches the Rfam family "Bacterial small subunit ribosomal RNA", at positions 28 to 523 of the family's 1533-position model. The record is from RNAcentral.